GGGAGUGCAGUUCAGUGGUAGAACACUUGGCUAGCAUGCUAUAGAUCCUGGGUUCAACUCCUAGCACUAGCCA
This is a non-coding RNA of Cricetulus griseus (Chinese hamster), 73 nucleotides long. Lineage: Eukaryota; Metazoa; Chordata; Mammalia; Rodentia; Cricetidae. The record is from Rfam.